Molecule: long non-coding RNA, 227 nt
Organism: Glycine soja
Lineage: Eukaryota; Viridiplantae; Streptophyta; Magnoliopsida; Fabales; Fabaceae
Exons: 5
Source: RefSeq, a predicted model, not a curated record
ACUUUUCUUCUUCAGGACUCUCUUGGCGGAAACUCGAAAACAAUGAUCAUUGCCAAUGUCAGCCCUUCUAUCUGCUGCGCUGCUGAAACAUUGAAUACACUUAAAUUUGCUCAGAGAGCAAAACUUAUUCAAAAUAAUGCUGUGGUGAACGAAGAUUCUACUGGGGAUGUAAUUGCUUUACAACAUCAAAUUCGACUUUUGAAGGAAGAGCUUUCUAUCCUCAAACG